UUUGUCCUGCACAACAGAGAGGCAGUAACAGGAGGGUUUUUGCAGCCUUCAUCAGAGUUUCACAAGCCAAUAGGUACGGUUUUUAAGUCCUAUGCAUUUCUUGCUAUGUUCUAUGAGUGGGUGCUGUUAUUGUAUAUUUAUUGUGUAUCAGUUAAUUUCCAAUUCUUUUUAUAUAUAUUGUGUGUUUUUAAUGUUAGUUCGGCUGUUGCCUGUGCAAAGGCCAGACCAUGUGUGUGACUGCCAAGCAGGUAACGUUGAGGUUUCACCCGGCGCAGUUGUGGCUCUUGUAACCAUAAAUGGCUGUUAUAACCUUGCACUGCCAGUGGUGAGCUGCACCAGCUGUGACUUAAUGUGGUCCCCCUCAGUUAAGGACAUCCUGGGUAGUGGAUAUUGGCCUGGCACCUUAAAUUUCUGCACCCUGUUUUCAAUGGAUGCCUUUCAGUCUUUCUAUGACAUUAAGAAGGCUGCACCAGGGAUGUCACUUAAGGCAUUUGUCAAAAUGCUGGAUGAAAGAACAGCCCAUUUUUGAAGGACUGGCCGAAUAUCAGCUGAUGCCUUCAGUAAA
Molecule: long non-coding RNA, 565 nt
Organism: Oreochromis aureus
Lineage: Eukaryota; Metazoa; Chordata; Actinopteri; Cichliformes; Cichlidae
Exons: 3
Source: RefSeq, a predicted model, not a curated record